RNAcentral lists this ribosomal RNA (482 nucleotides) under Baryscapus silvestrii. RNAcentral describes it as "eukaryotic LSU rRNA". The record is from RNAcentral. Lineage: Eukaryota; Metazoa; Arthropoda; Insecta; Hymenoptera; Eulophidae.
UCAAGAGUACGUGAAACCGUUCAGGGGUAAACCUGAGAAACCCAAAAGAUCGAAUGGGGAGAUUCACCGUCAGCGGCGUUGGCUUCCGUGCGGCUCGCGAUGGUCGGGACUUCGGUCUCGCGCCACGCGGUCGCCGCGGCAUGUCCGGCGUCGUCGGCGUGCACUUCUCCCCUAGUAGGACGUCGCGACCCGUUGGGUGUCGGAUCAAUGGCCGGUCGGUCGUCUGUUGCGUCGUUUUCAACGGCGACGCGGCAGACCGAUCGGUUCAACGUCCGACUGCCCGGCGGUAUAGAACGCUUAAUCACGGUACUGGGCCGCAACUCGAAUGCGUUCAGGCUCGACGGCAGGCUCGUCUCGCUCGGAUUUACGGACCUAGCGCCGUUGCCGGGCGCUUGGCGUGGCCGUUAGUCGUCGAUGUCCUCGGACUGGCUCUUACCGGUCUGCGACGCUACUGCUUUGGGUACUUUCAGGACCCGUCUUGA